GGCAGUGGGGCGGGGAGGGAGUGAGCAAGAGGCUUCCCAGGGCUCUGGAGACUUCCUUCUGGAAAGGCUGCUGUGUGUUUGUAGCGCUUAUGAGGCCUGUGGUCCCUGGGGACCUGGAAGGGGCGUUUAAUGGACUUUUGAGAAUCAAAGUCAGAUUGCCAGGGACAAAGGAAGGUUGUGAGGAAAUGGAGGCCACUGCAUCUCCGGCCGUGCUCCGGGAAUGGGGAGAAGGUACCUGUGGCAUUUUCCCCAGACAACGGGAGAUGGUGGUCCCUAGAGCUUUUGUGGGCUAUGAAACGGUGGGUGCUUCUCCCCCAGUCAGAGCCGCUCCCCAGCUCUUACGAUAUCCACUAGGUUCUUCUUUAACCACACCCGAGAGGAUAACUGAUUUGCCAAUGUUUACAGGCAGUUUUAUUUACUAAUCUAGCUCUCAUUUACUGUCAACUAAAUUUAUAGUCCUAAUUACAGUCCUCAGCAUUUUCCUGAUAAUAAACAUACAGGAUGUGUUUUAUGUUUGUUUGUUUUUUUUUUAACUGUGGGGGAGUUUAUUUUCUUGAUUACUUUAAAUUUCCUAUUAAAGUCUUAAAUUUAACCAUCAGCUUCUCACAACAAUCUAUGAACUUUUCUGCCACUUUAAUUCUUCUAAAAGGGCUCAAGCCAAAUGCGAACCAGGGGUUCUUAGAGGUUUCAGUGAAUGAUUUCAAAGCCUUGUCACACUUCAAAAUCACUUGGCGGCUUUCAAAAAAUUAGUUUUCCCUCCCUCUUGGGAGACUAAUUUUUGUAGGGCUGGGACAUACUCAGAAACUAGUAUUUUUGAAAAACCUCCUCAGUGAUUCUUAAGUUGCUGCUAUAAAAGCCAGUUCUGGGAAACUGUUGUCUAAAUGCUAAAUCUAUUUUGUCUGUCUUGUUUGUUUGUUUGUUUUUAUUUAAAGAAACUCAUGCUUGUGGAGCAAGCAGGGAAGGGGUUGGGGGUGGGGGUAGAGAAUCUCAAGCAGUCUCCACGCUGUCAGAGCAGGGCUCUCACCCAUGAGUUAUGGAAUCGUGACCUGAGCCAAAACCAAGAGUCGGACGUUUAACCAACUAAACCACCCAGGCACCCCUAUUUUGUUUGUCUUUUAGUGAAAUUUGGAGAUGGCAGCUUUAACUUCCAAAAUGUUAAAUAAUGCUUUGCAUUUCCAGAAAAUACUCUUUUUUUUCACCUCCAUCGCCACCCACCCAGGGCUUGAACUUCCUGAACCCUUCAGUCCUUCCUUACCUAACACCUGAUGCCGGAUGAUGCCGUUGUUUUCACCAAUCCGUGUCCCCUCUGGUUUUCCUAGAUUCCUGCUUUCUCCCUGUGGCAGCAUGUUUUGGGCUUUCUUUUGUGAAUGACAGUUGGCCUUUCUUCCUGUGCUUUCUUAAGCCCUGCUGCUCUUCAAGGUGUCCUGGAUACUUGAGGUAACGGACCAGGCGCCAUAGAAUCCGCUCCCACAACUGGCAUAAGGUGCUGUGACUCUCAGAUCUUCACCUCUCACUGUUUCUCUGGGAAGUCUCCAGGUCCCCACAUUUCAACUACCUACCAAGCAUUUACUCUUAGAUAUCCCACAAAGCACCUCAGACUCAGUGUUUCUCAAAUAUUACAUCCCUAGCUAUGUUUGUUUCUGUGAGGUUUUUUGUUUGUUUUGGGUUUUGUUUUUUGGUUUUUUUUUUUAGUAAUUUCACCCAACAUGGUGCUCGAACUCACGACCCUAAGAUCAAGAGUCACACACUCUUCCUACUGUGCCAGACAGGUGCCCCUGUUCUUUGUGUUUUUUAUCUCAAUGAAGGGCUCUACCACAUUAGUCAAGCUAGAAACAUGGGGGUAACCCCAUUCAUUCAUUUAAAACCACUAUUCUAGGCACUGGGGAUAACAGAAACUACAAAAAGUCGUGCCCUCCAAAAACUUGUAUUCCAGAAGGGGAAAACAGAGUAAGCAAUCAGUCCCCAAAUCUAACAGAUUCCAACUUAUUAUUUUUUUUAAAGGUGAGCCACCUUUUUUUUUUUUUUUUAAUAUUUAUUUUUGAGAAAGAGCAAGUGGGGCAGGGGCAGAGAGAGAGGGGGACAGAGGAUCAGAAGCAGGUUCUAUGCUGACAACAGAAAGCCCGAUGUGGGGCUCGAACUCACAAGCCACACGAUCAUGAAUGGAGCUGAAGUCAGACACUCAACCGACUAAGCCAGGCAGGCACCCCCAGAUUCCAACUUCUAAUAUCUCUAGACUCUGUCUCUCCAGUCACCACCUUAGUUCAAACCCUUGAUGGCCUCCCUCUUUCUCUUACUCCCUCCAGCCCAUUCUCCCGACAGCAGUGGGGAGCUGAAUCUUAAAUUGUAGCCUCUAGCUUUAAGCUUUCCAUCCCUCCAGGAGAGAGUCUUUCUUUGCAAUCUGGGUUAAAGGGUUUUAUAGCCUCUAGGCCCUGCUGGCCUUUCCAUCACUCAUCUCCACCCCGGUGAGCCACACUCUCCUCAGGCCACACUGAAUUAUAGCUGCAGGCUUCCCAUACCUGCCAUUCCACGCCUUCCCUCCUGCUUAGCUGACUCCUUGUCUGCUUUGCAGGUCUUAGCUCAGGUACUAUGACAGGCAGCUUCUGAGGUGGCCCCCACUGAUCCCUGGCUCCUCAUAUCCAGCCCUUGGGAUUCUGAAGAAAGGAAUGUGGCAGAAGCUGCCUUGUUGUGAACUGCUCUGUGAUGAAGGCCAUGUGACAAGGAGCAGAGGGAAGCCUCCGGCCAAAAACCUGUGAGGAACUGAAUCCUUCCAGCAAUGAUGUGAGCGAGCUUGGCACAGGGGUCCCCCCACCAAGCUGGGCCUUCAGAUGAGAUGGCCGCCCCAGCAGUCAGCAUUAACCGCAACCUCAUGGAAGACCUUCAGCCACGAGAGGCAGCCAGUUAAGUCAUGCCUGGAUUCCUGACCCAAAAAAAAACAAAAACAAAAACCUGUAAGAUAAUAAAUGUUUGUUGUCUUAAGC
Molecule: long non-coding RNA, 2978 nt
Filed under: Lynx pardinus (Iberian lynx)
Lineage: Eukaryota; Metazoa; Chordata; Mammalia; Carnivora; Felidae
Source: RNAcentral